RNAcentral lists this ribosomal RNA (253 nucleotides) under uncultured bacterium. Its description in RNAcentral is "partial 16S ribosomal RNA". It matches the Rfam family "Bacterial small subunit ribosomal RNA", at positions 524 to 776 of the family's 1533-position model. The record is from RNAcentral.
UACGUAGGGGGCAAGCGUUGUCCGGAAUCAUUGGGCGUAAAGAGCGUGUAGGCGGCCAGAAAAGUCCGCUGUGAAAACUCGAGGCUCAACUUCGAGCUGUCGGUGGAAACUUUCUGGCUAGAGUCCGGAAGAGGAGAAUGGAAUUCCUGGUGUAGCGGUGAAAUGCGCAGAUAUCAGGAAGAACACCCGUGGCGAAGGCGGUUCUCUGGGACUGUACUGACGCUGAGACGCGAAAGCGUGGGGAGCGAACAGG